Quercus robur (English oak) is the source of this 2714-nucleotide RNA transcript. RefSeq lists it as uncharacterized. The transcript has 2 exons. The record is from RefSeq and is a predicted model, not a curated record. NCBI's taxonomy places the organism in Eukaryota, Viridiplantae, Streptophyta, Magnoliopsida, Fagales, Fagaceae.
AUUAGAAAGCCGAUCACCAGAGAGUGACAUUUUUGAAGCAAAAUAUUUGCUCACAUUCACACCACUACCACACUUCAAAACCAACAUUCUUAGCUCCUCGUCCUCCCUUCCUCCAACCUCAAAAACCAUGACUGAGUUGGUCUCUUCCAUUGCAGCAAAUGUCAUUGAGAAGCUAGGGUCCCUUGCUUAUCAAGAGAUUUCCUUGGCAUGGGGCAUUGCAAGCGAUCUGAAAAAGCUUGAGGACACCAUGUCCACCAUCCAAGCCGUGCUGCUCGAUGCUGAGGAGAAGCAAGCAGAAAACCACCAGCUCAGAGUUUGGCUGGAGCGACUCAAAGCUGUCUUUCAUGAUGCCGUAGAUGUGGUGGAUGAAUUUGAAUGUGAAGAUCUACGAAGGCAAGUUGUGAAAACAUAUGGAAGCACUGGUAGAAAGGUAUGCCGUUUCUUUUCAUUUUCUAACCCGCUUGCCUUCGGUAUUAAAAUGGGUCAUAGAGUCAAGAAGAUCAGAGAGAGGUUAGAUUUGAUAGCAAAGGAUAGAGAUCAAUUUCAUCUUAAGGUGCGACACGAUGAGAAGCAUAUUGUGCACAGGGAGACCCACUCAUUUGUUUGUGAUUCUGAUGUUAUUGGGAGGGCUUAUGACAAGCAAAAGAUAAUAGAUCUUUUGAUGCAACCAGGUGAUGAUGGUAAUGUUUCUGUGAUUCCAAUAGUUGGAAUCGGAGGUAUGGGCAAGACUACACUUGCUCAGUCAGUGUAUAAUGAUAAAAUGGUAAAAACCAGGUUUUAUCCCAGAGUAUGGGUCUGUGUGUCAGUGGACUUUAAUGUUAAGAAGUUGGCAAAAGAAAUCCUUAAGUCUGCAGGUGGUGUUAUUAGUGAAAGCAUGAGUAUGAAUGAAGUGCAAGCUAGUUUACAAAGUAUUUUAGAGAAAAAUAGAUUUUUUAUCGUUUUGGAUGAUGUUUGGAAUGAGGACCGUAACAAAUGGAUUGCAAUGAAGAAUUUGUUAACAGAAGGUGGUCAAGGAAGUAAAAUUCUUGUCACUACACGUAGUCAAAAAGUUGCCUCGAUGAUGGCUUCUGGGCCCUUCCACCACAUAAAAGGUAUUUCAAAGGAUGUUUGUUUGUCCUUGUUAUUAAGAUGGGCCUUCAAUAGAGGAGAGGAGAAACAAUAUCCCAACCUAGUAGAAAUUGGAGAACAAAUUGUGAAAAAAUGCAAAGGUGUUCCUUUGGCUGUAAGGACUUUAGGAAGCUUACUUUAUUCUAAAACAGAGGAAAGUGAUUGGAUCUCUAUAAGGGAUAGUGAGAUAUGGAAACUAGAGCAACAAGAAGAAGACAUUUACCCGCAUUAAGAUUGAGUUAUGAUCAAUUGCCAUCGUACUUGAAACAAUGUUUUGCUUAUUGCUUAUUGUAUCCAAAAGAUUUUAGAUAUAAUAGCUCCUACUUAAUUCAGUUGUGGAUGGCAAAUGGACUUCUCCAAAAGUCCAACAACAGUAAUCAAGAGUUGGAAGAUAUUGGAUUACAGUAUAUAAAAGAGUUAUUAUCAAGAUCUUUCUUUCAAGAAGUUCAGGACCAUGGUGUUUUUUUGACAUUUAAAAUGCAUGAUUUGUUACAUGAUCUUUCAUUAUAUGUUGGACAAAAUGAUUAUUGCUUAAUUGAAAACACUCACAGCACAAGCAAUUUUGAAAAGGCUAGGCACGUGUCAAUUUUGGACCAUAAUUUGGGUGUUGAUGCAAUGAGAGAUUUUUUACACAAGUUGAGUAAUAAGUUGCGGACUAUUAUUUUCUCAUGUAAAGAAUGCACAUAUGAUGAACACGAUUUUAUUAAUAUUAAUGAAUCCUUGAUGGAAACAUGCAUUUCAAGGUUUAAGUACUUACGGGUGCUAGAUCUAAAAUUUUCAAGGUUGGAGGUUGUACCAAGCUUAAUUAGUACUUUGAAGCAUUUGAGAUAUCUUGACUUACAAGGGAAUAAGAAAAUCAAGAGAUUGCCUAACUCCAUUUGCAACCUGCAAAACUUGGAAACUUUGAUGCUUGCUGGCUGUGAAGACCUUGAAGAAUUACCAAGAGAUAUAAGAAAGAUGAUCAGCCUCAGAUAUUUGUGGAUAACCACAAAACAAACGCAUUUGCCUGCCAAUGGAAUUGAGUACAUGUGUUCACUUCGAAAUUUGGUCUUUAUAGGAUGUCCCAGACUAUUGCAUUUUCCUGAAGGGAUCCAACGCCUCACUGCCCUUCACAGAUUGGAGUUUACAUAUUGUGAAAGCUUGACGUCUUUGCCACGUGGUAUGAAACAUCUAACUGCAUUGGAAAUUUUGGGAAUUUGGGAUUGUGAAAAGCUUAUUUUGAUGGAAGGGGAUGACUACCCAAUGAGGCUUCGAAGACUGACAAUCGGUUUCUUGCCAAAACUAGUGUCUCUACCGCAAGGGCUUAUACCAUCUGCUAAUACUUUACAGUUCUUAGCAAUUUAUGACUGUGGGAACUUGGCGAAAUUGCCACAGUGGCCCCCAAAUCUCAGUUUACUUCCAAAACUUGACAUUUUGAACUGCCCAAAAUUAUUGUCUCUGCCUAAAAGGAUGGAUCGCCGCACUGUUCUAAAAGAUUAGCACAUAUGGAACGCAAUAAACAACUUUGAUCCCCAAGUUUUUAUUUGGCUUGGUGAUAAUAUUUAUGGAGACAUCAAGCAUCCUUUUAAGCUAUUUGGAAAGGAGAGAACACUCGGACCCUGGAAGAA